Molecule: unclassified non-coding RNA, 1436 nt
Filed under: Aphidius gifuensis
Lineage: Eukaryota; Metazoa; Arthropoda; Insecta; Hymenoptera; Braconidae
Description: mediator of RNA polymerase II transcription subunit 20, transcript variant X1
Source: RNAcentral
CAUUCCAGAUAUGUAAAUAAAAACAGAUAAAAAUAUAUCAACAAAAACGGUGCCGUGUUUUAGAUUGUGUUUUAGUUGUGAAUAAAUUGUUAAUAAACAAAAAAUACAAUGGGAGUAACUGUAUUACAACAAUUUCCAAUGAUGGAAAAUCGUACUGGACCACAGACAAUUGAAUUUUUAACAAAAAGAAUACUUGCACUUGGAGCUCUUCAAGUUGGCCAAUUUAUUGUUGACUGUGAAACUUACAUGUCUGUUCCUCAACUUGGUGCACAGAGGACAGUUCAUGUACUUCAUAAUUCCGAACAGCCAGCAUCGGUUUUUGCACUUUUAGAAUCAGGGACAAAAGUUGUGCCUUUAAUUGCUGAUGGAUUAUUUGAUUUGAUGAUGAUUAAAUUUGCAACAAUGUAUACUAGUAAAAAACAAACUAAAAUUGAAUCAAAAGGUCCGAGAUUUGAAAUUGGUGAUUUUUGUGUUAAACUUGGCAGUGUUACAAUGAGUCAAAAUUUUAAGGGUGUUCUUGUUGAGGUUGAGUACAGACCGUGUGUGGUACCAGGUGAAGCCUGGAAUCUUAUCAAAGAAUUUUUACAAGGAUUUAUUGGUUCAGCAGUGGCAAAUCAACCUCCUCCAUAUUUACAGAAUCGUAUGAAUGAUAUUUAUCAACCAAUGGACACAAUACAUCAGUACUUGGAUCACUUUGGACAAUAUAGAAAAGCAACUGGUGUAUUAUAAUUCAAUGAAAAAAUUUAAUUAAUCAGUGGAUAUAAUCAUUUUCAUCUAGAAAUAAACAUUUAUAUAUUGUAAAAAUAUAAUUAAUUUUUAUAUUGGCUUAAAGGAUUGUUAAUUUAAAUUGCCAGUCGAUGAUAAUAGAGAAAAAUAUGUAUUCCAUUUUCAAUAAUCAACAAAAAGAAUGGAAAUUCAUCGGCUGACUGAUGGAUAAGGUUUCUUAUUAAUUUGAGCUAAAUAAAUACCAGAAAAAAUAUUUGAAAAGGGAAAUUCAAGAAGACGUAUUUUUUUAUGAGAAAACAAAAAAGAUUUCUAUUUUUUUUUAUUAAAAUUUAUCAACUAAAUAACACUUGUUACAAUAAAAGUACAAUAAAUUGUCAAAAAAAUAUAUUCUUAGCUAAAUAUAUAAUUCUAUAUACAUUAUAAAUAUAAAAAAAAAUUAUUAUAAACUUCAACUCAAUGUGAGUCAAUGCUUUCCAUUUGUAUAAAUUCGAUUUACCCAAUUUCUUCAACACUUGCUGGACAAUUUUAUAACUUCAAAUUUCUAUUCAUCAAUCGACAUAUAAAUUUAGCUAAUAAUAAAAAACAUUAGCUCGUUGAGAAUAAAACCCUUGAAGUUAUUUUUCUAUCAUAAUUAAUUAUCAACAAUUAAAUAAUCAAUCAAUCAAAAAAAAAAAAAAACUGAGUAAUAUUUAAAAAUACGUUCUCUCACA